This 892-nucleotide small RNA is filed under the name Pan troglodytes (chimpanzee). Its description in RNAcentral is "processed transcript". The record is from RNAcentral. Lineage: Eukaryota; Metazoa; Chordata; Mammalia; Primates; Hominidae.
GACAGUGAACCCUGCGCUGAAGGCGUUGGGGCUCCUGCAGUUUUGGGGCAGCCACAGGCGCCCAGGGUUUCGUGCCGCCCAGCCCAGGACAGUCUUCCCGGUGCAGUUUCUGAUGCGGGGAGGGCAGUGCUGCCUUCCAGUCACCAGGACCAGUGCUCAGCCCGCCUGCUUGACCCCCUUACUUAGCUGGGGUCCAAUCCAUACCCAAUUUAGAUGAUUCAGACGAUGGGAUUUGAAACUUUUGAACUGGGUGCGACUUAAGCACUGCCCUGCUGUGCUACUCCUGCAAAGCCCAGGUGAGCAACGAGGACUGCCUGCAGGUGGAGAACUGCACCCAGCUGGGGGAGCAGUGCUGGACCGCGCGCAUCCGUGAGUGGGGGGACGACAGCCGCCAGGCCUAGGUCUCUGCCACUGAACUAUUCAUCUUUCUGGCCAUCUGUCUGCAUCUAUGUGCUGUUUUCCUUCCACCUGUCCCCGACCCGUCCCGCACCUGCACCCCCAACAAUCACCCAGCAUCUGUCCUUCCAGCCAUCCUCCUCCAUCUGCCGCUCCUCCACCCGUCUGUCCCUCUCCAUCCUCCAUCUUCCACUCCUCCACCCGUCUGUCCCUCCCCAUCCUCCAUCUUCCACUCCUCCACCCGUCUGUCCCUCCCCAUCCCUGAGCUCGCUCACUCACUCACCCCAUUUCUGAUGCUCAGCGGGUGGUCCACCUGCCUUGGACAUCUGGAUAGGGCUGAGACCAGGGCCGAGACCAGGCCCUCGCACUGCUUGCAAUCCUGAGGCCAGCCCAGGGGGACUCUAGAGCAUUAGGCAGGGUGGGGACAGGAGGAGGCCUGGGGCAGGUCAGGCGGGUGAGCACACAGGGCAGCCCCAUCCCCGGAUCCCGCUGCUCC